GACGAACGCUGGCGGCGUGCUUAACACAUGCAAGUCGAACGCUGAAGCUUGGUGCUUGCACUGGGUGGAUGAGUGGCGAACGGGUGAGUAAUAAGUGAGUAACCUGCCCUUGACUCUGGGAUAAGCCUGGGAAACUGGGUCUAAUACUGGAUACGACAUGUCACCGCAUGGUGGUGUGAGGAAAGGGUUUUACUGGUUUUGGAUGGGCUCACGGCCUAUCAGCUUGUUGGUGGGGUAAUGGCUCACCAAGGCGACGACGGGUAGCCGGCCUGAGAGGGUGACCGGCCACACUGGGACUGAGACACGGCCCAGACUCCUACGGGAGGCAGCAGUGGGGAAUAUUGCACAAUGGGCGGAAGCCUGAUGCAGCGACGCCGCGUGAGGGAUGACGGCCUUCGGGUUGUAAACCUCUUUCAGCACGGAAGAAGCGAAAGUGACGGUACGUGCAGAAGAAGCGCCGGCUAACUACGUG
Molecule: ribosomal RNA, 472 nt
Filed under: uncultured bacterium
Lineage: Bacteria
Description: partial 16S ribosomal RNA
Rfam family: Bacterial small subunit ribosomal RNA
Source: RNAcentral